GAGCGGUAACAGGUGUAGCAAUACAUGCUGACGAGCGGCGAACGGGUGAGUAAUGCUUCGGAAUCUGCCCAAUGGUGGGGAAUAACCAGCCGAAAGGUUGGCUAAUACCGCAUGAGCCCUACGGGGGAAAGCAGGGGAUCGUAAGACCUUGCGCCGAUGGAUGAGCCGAAGUCGGAUUAGCUAGUUGGUAGGGUAACGGCCUACCAAGGCGACGAUCCGUAGCUGGUCUGAGAGGACGACCAGCCACACUGGGACUGAGACACGGCCCAGACUCCUACGGGAGGCAGCAGUGGGGAAUAUUGGGCAAUGGGGGCAACCCUGAUCCAGCGACGCCGCGUGUGUGAAGAAGGCCUGCGGGUUGUAAAGCACUUUGAGUGGGGAUGAAAAGCUCAGGGCUAAUACCUCUGGGUCUUGACCUAACCCACAGAAAAAGCACCGGUUAACUCUGUGCCAGCUGUCCGCGGUAAUACAGCAGGGUGCGAGCGUUAAUCGGAAUUACUGGGCGUAAAGCGUACGUAGACGGUCAGUAUAAGAUCGGGUGUGAAAGCCCUCGGGUCUCAACCUGCGAAUUGCAAUUCGAUACUGUCUGGCUAGGGUGCGGAAGAGGGAAGCCGAAUUCCCCGCUGCACCGCUGAAAUGCCUAGAUAUCGGCAGGAAUACCCAGUGUCGCAUAG
RNAcentral lists this ribosomal RNA (674 nucleotides) under uncultured forest soil bacterium. RNAcentral describes it as "bacterial SSU rRNA". It matches the Rfam family "Bacterial small subunit ribosomal RNA", at positions 64 to 720 of the family's 1533-position model. The record is from RNAcentral.